CAGUUUGUUGCAGAGCGUGGGCAGUAAAUGCAAAGAAAAAACACAGUUGCAGAAAUUGCUAGCAAUAGACUAUACAAGAUAGAGCCAAAUUGAGCAAAAAAAAAGACCAUUCCCAUUUGGAUCACCAUUCCCUAACCACAGCAAAAUGAAGGUGGAAAAUUGAGUAGUUGAGUGCCGUGUAUGCACAUGAGCAGGUAGUCAUGUUCCCUUAUUUCAUAUCCUUUGGAUCUACUCAUAUUAUAUGAAAGCAAACCUGAAACUGAAGUCAGAAAUCUAUUUUAUUUUUCUUUUAGUAUUUAUUAUGACUAUCUGUAUUUAUCACGCAGGGCUAAUACUUUAUAAGAAAUGUGCUGGUUCUUGAUACUCCUCCAACCAGUUGUAGAAGAAUUCUGGUUUGGCUGAAGUAGUUUUACAUCCGAAAGAUGGACUUUGUACAGAUAUAUUCUCUGUCAACAAUAUGUAUAUCCAGGCGGAGAUGAACUUGGAGGGAAGCAGAUUUACAGUUUGGUGAUAUUAUAUAUUAUCAAUCGCAGUUUAUUAAUGUUGCGCUUCUUCUCUAUUAUCAAACUAUUCACACAAGACUUCAUGUGUGCGUGUGUGAAAGAUUUUAUUAGUGUAAGGUCUUUAGGGACAGUUCACAUUGAAGUUCUGGUGCCUACAUAAAUUGUAAACCAUACAUGUUGACAUGGGUACACAUCUCAUGGCUAUAUACAACUUUGACAUGAGGUUUAUCUUAAGAUUGUGUGUUCCAAUAAAAGCUGUUACUAUUUCUUGCAUGUGCAUGUCUUUAGGAUAUACAUUUUUCUUUAUAGAUUUAUUUAUUUACAUCGCUUACUGCUUACUAGCCUAUUUUUUCUAGCAAUUUCUGCAAGUCGACCCAUCGUGUUGAACUAAACCAUCUCUAAUUUCCUACAGCUUCAACUCCAACAACAGGUACCUAUAAUUACCACAUCCACCCUUCCCCUGUUUUAUUUGUAGCCCAUUGAUUCAUGUCUAUAUUGACUUAUUUUCUUGCUACAUUUCUAUACAUAUACUCCAUGGUAACAUUAUACAUUCAUUUUCUAUUCAUGUUACAUUGACAAAUACAUAGAUAGUACAUGCAGUUUCUGAUGAUUAUAUCUACGUACAUACAUGUACUUUCAUCGUAAUAUGUAAGGGAUAUUCAAGUUACUGACAUAAAUACUCACAUUGACUUUAUAUAAUGACAAAUCAAAAUCCACAUUUGGUUCCCAUAAAUGUACAUGUCUUCAAGAUAUACAUUUUCAUUUCCAUAUUCAAGUUACAGAGAUUACUAACACCUUCAUAGCCUAUUUUCUAACUGAUUCUGUAGGAUGGCCCCACACACUUAAUGAAAACAUCUCUAAUUUCUAGCAAAUUCGACUCCGAGGACAAUAAGUAAGUUUACAUAACACAUCCAUCCUGCCCCAUUUAAUUUGUAUCCCAUUAAUUCAUGUCUAUAUUGACUUAUUGCCUUACAACAUUUCCAUAUAUAUACCCUGCGAAAAGCUUACAUAUUCAUUUCCUCUUCAUGUUCUAUCUAUACAUAUGUAGAGAAAUUUGUUGCAUUUAUUGUUUCUUUACAUCUGAUUUUGUUCUGCAGAGGUACCACAAUGGACUUCUUAAGAAGAAUAGGAAUCGUGUACAUAAGCUUUUUUGCUCUAAUAAAAUAAGAGUGGUAAUGGAAGCUCUUUGUC
Molecule: long non-coding RNA, 1694 nt
Filed under: Zea mays
Lineage: Eukaryota; Viridiplantae; Streptophyta; Magnoliopsida; Poales; Poaceae
Description: long non-coding RNA NONZMAT000684
Source: RNAcentral